This 254-nucleotide ribosomal RNA is filed under the name uncultured bacterium. RNAcentral's name for it is "partial 16S ribosomal RNA". It matches the Rfam family "Bacterial small subunit ribosomal RNA", at positions 524 to 776 of the family's 1533-position model. The record is from RNAcentral.
UACGUAGGGUGCAAGCGUUGCCCGGAAUUAUUGGGCGUAAAGAGCUCGUAGGCGGUUUGUCGCGUCUGCUGUGAAAACCCGAGGCUCAACCUCGGGCCUGCAGUGGGUACGGGCAGACUAGAGUGCGGUAGGGGAGACUGGAAUUCCUGGUGUAGCGGUGAAAUGCGCAGAUAUCAGGAGGAACACCGGUGGCGAAGGCGGGUCUCUGGGCCGUAACUGACGCUGGAGGAGCGAAAGCGUGGGGAGCGAACAGG